ACGCUGGCGGUAUGCUUAACACAUGCAAGUCGAACGGAAACGAAACUAGCUUGCUAGUAGGCGUCGAGUGGCGGACGGGUGAGUAACGCGUAGGAAUCUGCCUGAUAGUGGGGGAUAGCCCGAAGAAAUUCGGAUUAAUACCGCAUAAUCUAUUCGUAGUAAAGUGGGGGACUUUCGAGCCUCACGCUAUCAGAUGAGCCUGCGUAAGAUUAGCUUGUUGGUAGGGUAAAAGCCUACCAAGGCAACGAUCUUUAGCUGGUCUGAGAGGAUGAUCAGCCACAUCGGGACUGAGACACGGCCCGAACUCCUACGGGAGGCAGCAGUGGGGAAUAUUGGACAAUGGGGGCAACCCUGAUCCAGCAAUACCGCGUGUGUGAAGAAGGCCUGAGGGUUGUAAAGCACUUUCAAUUGUGAAGAAAAGUUAACGGUUAAUAACCGUUGACCUUGACGUUAACUUUAGAAGAAGCACCGGCUAACUCCGUGCCAGCAGCCGCGGUAAUACGGAGGGUGCAAGCGUUAAUCGGAAUUACUGGGCGUAAAGCGUGCGUAGGCGGUUUAUUAAGUCAGAUGUGAAAGCCCCGGGCUUAACCUGGGAACUGCAUUUGAAACUGGUCAACUAGAGUAUGGUAGAGGAAAGUGGAAUUUCUGGUGUAGCGGUGAAAUGCGUAGAUAUCAGAAGGAACAUCAAUGGCGAAGGCAGCUUUCUGGACCAAUACUGACGCUGAGGUACGAAAGCGUGGGUAGCAAACAGGAUUAGAUACCCUGGUAGUCCACGCCGUAAACGAUGAUAACUAGCCGUUGGGGGGAUUUACCCUUUAGUGGCGAAGCUAACGCGUUAAGUUAUCCGCCUGGGGAGUACGGCCGCAAGCUAAC
RNAcentral lists this ribosomal RNA (873 nucleotides) under gamma proteobacterium SCGC AAA240-I17. RNAcentral's name for it is "SSU rRNA". It matches the Rfam family "Bacterial small subunit ribosomal RNA", at positions 33 to 898 of the family's 1533-position model. The record is from RNAcentral. Lineage: Bacteria; Pseudomonadati; Pseudomonadota; Gammaproteobacteria.